GACGAACGCUGGCGGCGUGCUUAACACAUGCAAGUCGAACGGAAAGGCCCUGCUUUUGUGGGGUGCUCGAGUGGCGAACGGGUGAGUAACACGUGAGUAACCUGCCCUUGACUUUGGGAUAACUUCAGGAAACUGGGGCUAAUACCGGAUAUGAGCUCCUGCUGCAUGGUGGGGGUUGGAAAGUUUCGGCGGUUGGGGAUGGACUCGCGGCUUAUCAGCUUGUUGGUGGGGUAGUGGCUUACCAAGGCUUGACGGGUAGCCGGCCUGAGAGGGUGACCGGCGACAUUGGGACUGAGAGACGGCCCAGACGCCUACGGGAGGCAGCAGUGGGGAAUAUUGCAGAAUGGGCGGAAGCCUGAUGCAGCAACGCCGCGUGCGGGAUGACGGCCUUCGGGUUGUAAACCGCUUUCGCCUGUGACGAAGCGUGAGUGACGGUAAUGGGUAAAGAAGCACCGGCUAACUACGUG
This 467-nucleotide ribosomal RNA is filed under the name uncultured bacterium. RNAcentral's name for it is "partial 16S ribosomal RNA". It matches the Rfam family "Bacterial small subunit ribosomal RNA", at positions 28 to 507 of the family's 1533-position model. The record is from RNAcentral.